UGACGAGUUUGAUCCUGGCUCAGAUUGAACGCUGGCGGCAUGCUUUACACAUGCAAGUCGAACGGUAACAGGCCGCAAGGUGCUGACGAGUGGCGAACGGGUGAGUAAUGCAUCGGAACGUGCCCAGUCGUGGGGAUAACGCAGCGAAAGCUGCGCUAAUACCGCAUACGAUCUAAGGAUGAAAGCGGGGGACCGAAAGGCCUCGCGCGAUUGGAGCGGCCGAUGUCAGAUUAGGUAGUUGGUGGGGUAAAGGCUCACCAAGCCAACGAUCUGUAGCUGGUCUGAGAGGACGACCAGCCACACUGGAACUGAGACACGGUCCAGACUCCGUACGGGAGCAGCAGUGGGGAAUUUGGACAAUGGACGCAAGUCUGAUCCAG
Molecule: ribosomal RNA, 380 nt
Filed under: uncultured Comamonadaceae bacterium
Lineage: Bacteria; Pseudomonadati; Pseudomonadota; Betaproteobacteria; Burkholderiales; Comamonadaceae
Description: bacterial SSU rRNA
Rfam family: Bacterial small subunit ribosomal RNA
Source: RNAcentral